Molecule: ribosomal RNA, 497 nt
Filed under: uncultured bacterium
Lineage: Bacteria
Description: partial 16S ribosomal RNA
Rfam family: Bacterial small subunit ribosomal RNA
Source: RNAcentral
GAUGAACGCUGGCGGCGUGCCUAAUACAUGCAAGUCGAGCGAACGGACGAGAAGCUUGCUUCUCUGAUGUUAGCGGCGGACGGGUGAGUAACACGUGGAUAACCUACCUAUAAGACUGGGAUAACCUCGGGAAACCGGAGCUAAUACCGGAUAAUAUUUUGAACUGCAUGGUUCACACGUGAAAGACGGUCUUGCUGUCACUUAUAGAUGGCUCCGCGCUGCAUUAGCUAGUUGGUAAGGUAACGGCUUACCAAGGCAACGAUGCAUAGCCGACCUGAGAGGGUGGUCGGCCACACUGGAUCUGAGACACGGUCCACACUCCUACGGGAGGCAGCAGUAGGGAAUCUUCCGCGAUGGGCGAAAGCCUGACGGAGCAACGCCGCGUGAGUGAUGAAGGUCUUCGGAUCGUAAAACUCUGUUAUUAGGGAAGAACAUAUGUGUAAGUAACUGUGCACAUCUUGACGGUACCUAAUCAGAAAGCCACGGCUAACUACGUG